Molecule: RNA transcript, 1412 nt
Organism: Acanthopagrus latus (yellowfin seabream)
Lineage: Eukaryota; Metazoa; Chordata; Actinopteri; Spariformes; Sparidae
Exons: 7
Source: RefSeq, a predicted model, not a curated record
CUUGGACUCUUAAAGCUCACGGUGUCUGGAAAACAUUCUAUGGUGCGCCUUUGCGCUAACGUAGUCCGUUAUCUGACCAUCUUCAGUUGAUUCUACAUGAUUAACAGACCCUAAGGCCUCUCUCUCUCUGACGACGGGUGCGUGUGUUAUUGAACGCAGGCGAGACUGAGAGAGAACGAUGUUCUUUGGAUGAGGCCCAGCAGAGCUCCUCCCCGCCUUCUCUUCCCAGUUUCAGUUCAUGUUUUUGUGAGCAUUUUUCUCCGUUCAUUUUAAGGACAAGAGUGGAGGAAAUACUAUUUUCGGUGCGGCAAUCAAACCGUGUUGGUAUCUUCUGGAGACAUCUCAGGAACCUCAUCUCAAUCUGUAGUCGUGUAACAUGUCCUCUGAGGGGGUAUCAGUGGUAGGACCCAGGUCACAUCGCUUUGCCGCCUGGUUUGACCAUGAAACUGCUGCGGUGAGAUCAGGACAUCACUCAGUCUGAGUGCAGUGGUGACCAUCCUGUUGGGGCUGUUCCAGGUGCUGUUGUCUGUCCUGCUCGCCGACUCCAACAAAAGUCUGCCAAAACUCUACAUACUGCCACUUGCCAUGGGGAUUGUAAUUGUGGCAGGAGGCUCAUUCACCAUGGCCAGUGAGAGGAACCCCAGCAGAUUACUGCUUCAAGGUUGCGCAUAUAGUAAUGUGGUUGGCCUGUUGGGAACAAUGCUUGCCUUUUGCCUAUACUGCUACAACCUCAGCAUUUUACAUAAAGAACCAUGUGUGAUGCCCCUUCCUGAUCACUUCAGACGGUCACCUUAUGACUGUCCUGGGGAAGCCCUGGCAGCCUAUUGCUGGAGUGUGACACUUCUGCUUCUGCUCUAUAACAUUGGGGCCGUGGUCAUGCACUCCCUCCUGUCUUUCUCUGCCCUCAAAGCACUCAAAACAGACUAAUUCACACACGGAACACACAUACCAUAGAUGUUGAAUUAUUCUCAUCAGCAGAAGAACAGUAAAAAAUGUGUUUAUCAGUCAAACAUUUUUCAAAUGUCUGUUAUGAGGUGAGAUUUAAAAUGGGUCCAGAUGUCAACAACAGUAUGUAGUGCAGGUAGAAAAUAAGAUCAUCAUAGUUGUAACAAAAUGAUAUGAAUUAAAUGGUGGAUAAACAAGUGAUGCAAUAUUGUGACCAGAAAUACAUAGAAAAUGUGUGGAUUUAACAAACUGAUGGAUUGAUUUAACCACCAGUUUAGUAAUUUAAAGCCAGUAUGCCAACCAGAGAGCAGUGACAUAUUGAUUUUGUGCACUGUAAAAUGUCUAAAUUAUAAAACAAUUGUUUUAUCUAAUUAACAUAGUUUGUUUUUGCCAUGUGGUUAUGAUUAACUCUUGCCCAAUGUAUCACUAUUACAAAGUAUACUGUAUUAAACAAAUGUAUAUAUUGA